RNAcentral lists this unclassified non-coding RNA (352 nucleotides) under soil metagenome. Its description in RNAcentral is "partial contains 5.8S ribosomal RNA, internal transcribed spacer 2, and large subunit ribosomal RNA". The stretch from base 1 to 120 matches the Rfam family "5.8S ribosomal RNA", at positions 35 to 154 of the family's 154-position model. The record is from RNAcentral.
GAUGAAGAACGCAGCGAAAUGCGAUAAGUAAUGUGAAUUGCAGAAUUCAGUGAAUCAUCGAAUCUUUGAACGCACAUUGCGCCCGCGAGUAUUCUCGCGGGCAUGCCUGUCCGAGCGUCAUUUCAACCCUCAGGGCCCGCCUGCUUCGGCAGGCGCGGCGCUGGUGUUGGGAUCGGCCUAACCGCCGUCCCCCAAAUACAGUGGCGGUCUCGCUGCAGCCUCCCCUGCGUAGUAGCAACACUCGCAUGCGGAGCGCGGCGCGGCCACGCCGUAAAACCCCCGACUUUCUGAACGUUGACCUCGGAUCAGGUAGGAAUACCCGCUGAACUUAAGCAUAUCAAUAAGCGGAGGA